RNAcentral lists this ribosomal RNA (556 nucleotides) under uncultured bacterium. RNAcentral's name for it is "bacterial SSU rRNA". It matches the Rfam family "Bacterial small subunit ribosomal RNA", at positions 373 to 917 of the family's 1533-position model. The record is from RNAcentral.
GGGGGAAACCCUGAUCCAGCGAUGCCGCGUGGGUGAAGAAGGCCUGCGGGUUGUAAAGCCCUUUCGGUGGUGAAGAGGUGUGUUAGUGUGAAUAGCACUAAUGCAUGACGGUAACCACAGAAGAAGCACCGGCUAACUCUGUGCCAGCAGCCGCGGUAAGACAGAGGGUGCUAGCGUUAAUCGGAAUUACUGGGCGUAAAGGGCGUGUAGGCGGAUUAUUAAGUCGGAUGUGAAAGCCCUGGGCUUAACCUGGGAACGGCAUUUGAUACUNGAUAGUCUAGAGUGAAGCAGAGGGUAGCGGAAUUUCCGGUGCAGCGGUGAAAUGCGUAGAUAUCGGAAGGAACACCAGUGGCGAAGGCGGCUACCUGGGCUUUAACUGACGCUGAGGCGCGAAAGCGUGGGGAGCGAACAGGAUUAGAUACCCUGGUAGUCCACGCUGUAAACGAUGAANACUAGCUGUUGGUGGAUGUGAUGUCUAUCGGNAGCGAANCUAACGCGAUAAGUCUUCCGCCUGGGGAGUACGGUCGCAAGGUUGAAACUCAAAGGAAUUGACGGA